Perognathus longimembris pacificus (Pacific pocket mouse) is the source of this 106-nucleotide small nuclear RNA. The record is from RefSeq and is a predicted model, not a curated record. NCBI's taxonomy places the organism in Eukaryota, Metazoa, Chordata, Mammalia, Rodentia, Heteromyidae.
GUGCUUGCUGUGGAGGAGCACAUAUAGUAAAACUGGAAUGAUAUGGAGAUUAACAAGGCCCCUGUGCAAAGAUGACACAUGAAUUUGUGAAGCAUUCCAUAUUAAA